CCGGAUCGGAGUCAGACGCGGCGGUAUGAGCAGACGUUUUCCCAAAGAAGAUGACAGCAACUAAGAAGAGGGCCGUGGAAAGCAAAAGAGGCCAAAAGUAGGCUAAAAUGGUGAGAAAAGAAGGUGCAAAAAUGAUGAGGGCUGAAAGGGUAAGUGAAAUAGUGAGUAUUAUGAUUAUGGGGUACUUCAACUUUAGCAGCUUUUCCGUGAUCUCCAUGGUCUGAAAGAUAUGGAAGAAUAUAAAAAGAUAAUAAAAGGGGCUUUUUUUUGCUGUUGUUUUCAGGGGGAGAGGAGGAAGUGGUGAGUGGUGACUCGAGUGAUAGAUUCUCUCAAGCGGAAAAAUAGUGUUUUCCUUUUCAGAGGGAGGAGAAUGUGGUUAGUGUAAAACUUUGGGCUUAUUAAGGAAGUUAUAUGAAAACUUAUUAAAUAUGAUGGUAUUGAAUAGUUUUUGCAUUUAAAUAUUCAAGAAUUUUUUUAUUAUUUUUAUUAAGGGUAAAUUACACUAAGUAGUCACUCAAUUUUUUUUAUUUUUAUCACCUAAUUAUGUAAAAUUACAAAAUGAUCAUCUAACUAUUUAAUUUUAUCUUCUAACUAUUUAAUUUUAUCUUUUUUGGUUAAUGGGCUAGAGCUUUUAAAAUUGGUAUAAUAACAACUUUAACCCUCAAUAUUUAUAUAUUGUGUUAACUUAGUCUUAAUUCUAAAAAAUUGAAUAGUUGGAUGUCCAUUUUGUAACUUUAAAAGCUGCCACUAUUAGCCACUAGUGACUAAAAAAGAAAAAAUUAAAUAAUUGAGUGUCUAUUUUGUAAUUUUUUAUAGUUGGGUGAUCGAAAAAGAGAUUUACUUAUAGUUGGGUGACUACUAGUGUUGUUUACCCAUUUAUUAAAAUAAGCUUAGGAGAAUGUUAUUUUUUAAAAGGCUUAAUGGUAUUAUAAGCCUUCAAACUUUUUCAAAAAAUUCAAUUAACCCUUCAAACCUUUUGCAUCUCAAUUGAGCUGUUAAACUAACAAAGCUGACUAAAUAGGACCUUUGACUACCAUUGACUGUUAAUAUUUAAUAAUAACGCAAAUGCAACUAUUAAUAGAUGCCAUGUUAGCACAUUUAUUAAUAUAGCAAUGCCAUGUCAUCGUCAAAUGCUGAUGUGGUAAUGCAAUAUCAUCAUUGACUGCCACAUCACCAUCAAUUCAAAAAAUAAAAAAUUAUUUUAAAAAUAUGUACACAACGAAUCUGAAAAAAUUAUUGUCCAAAUACAUUAUGAAGUUAUAAAAAAAAUUAAAAAAAAUUAUUAUUAGAAUUUAAUUAAAAAACAUAAAGUUUAUAAAAGAUUAUUAUUUUUAUAUUUUAAAUAAAAAUAACAUCAACAACUUAUAUCAUAAAAUCAAGAUUAAUAAUUUUUUUUUGUUAUAUUUUAUCUUUCAUUUUUCAUUUCGCGCAAGUUAUAUUAGUCAAGUAAUUUAAUAAAAAAUCAAAAAAAUAUUUUUUUAUGAAAUUUUAUAAAAAAAUAUUUUUUAUGAAAUUUUAUAAAAAAAUAAUUUCUUUUUUUAUAAAAAUUUAUGGUUUUUAAUUAAUUUAUAACAAUUUUUAUAAAUUAUUUUUAUAAUUUUUAUGGCUUUUAAUAAAUUACUUUUAUAAAAUUCUAUGAUUUUUAAUUAAUUUCUAAUAAUUAUUAUAAAUUUUAAGAAAUUUUAAUGAUUUUCUUAUAAUUUUUAUAAAAUUUUUAUACUUUUUUUAUUAUUCUAAAAUUUGUCUAGAUUCAUUAUGUACUUAUUUUAAAAUAAUUUUAAAUAUAUAUUAUUUUUAAUUAUUUUAUGAUGUGAUGUUUGUUAACAACCAUGUCAGCAUUGUUGUUAAAUAGUAACAGUCAACGUCAAUCAAAUGGUUUAUUUGGCCAUUUUUAUUAAUUAGGGGCUAAAUUGAGUGCAAAAAAAUUUGGAGGGACUUAAUUGAUUUAUUUUUGAAAAAAAUUGAGGGCUUAUUUUACUAAUAAUAAACCUUUUAAAAGAAAUUGGGAGAGAUAUCUUGAUACUCAUGAGAAUUUAGUUUAGUGUUUUAUUUUGCAUUGUCAUGCUUUUUAUGCUUAAUUGGAGUUAGGAUAAUUGUUAUGAAAUAAUUAAAGCACCAAGACACAUAUGAAUGUUGAGAUAGUGUAAAAUAUUUAAAUUUUAAACUCUAACAAUAUAUUUUUAUUUUCUUACGUAUGUGGAUAACAUUUAAACAAAACUCGAAACCGAUAUAUGUUUUGUUUUGUUUAAAUUUUUUUAAAAUGUAGAUAAUGUUCUAUAACUGAUUAUUUGAAGGGAGAAUGAAAAUUAAAUUUAACUUCACUACCAGUGGGUGUUAAGGUUUCUUACAAACCCUAACAAAACCCUAAUUUUAAAAACCUAUAAAUAGUCUAUCCAAUUUCAUAGUUUUUCACAAAAGAAAAACCCAAAGCAUUCCUCUACAUCCUAUUCUAUGUUAUCCUCCAUAUUUAAGAAUUUUUAAAUUCUAAUUUCUAAGUACCUCAAGAUAUUCAGCAUCAUACUAGAGUAUUUUCUAAAAAAUUCAACACCUAAAGAUAUUCAACAUCAUACUGUUGGAUAAUUACUAUUGCUAAACAAAGAUGUUAAUAUAAAAAAUAAGGAAAAAUAAAUAAAUAAAUACUGCAUCGUGGAUAACCACUGCAUUAGAAGUAAUUUCGUUCUAAUCGAUAUGAUCAGAAAUGGACGUCGCUCCCAAGGUUAACACAGUGCAACCAAAUUCGUUCACCCGAAUGAUAAAGAUAAAAUACAAUUGGUAUUGCUCUUCUUAAAUUUACGAGAAAUAAGAUCAAAAAUAAGUUUAAAUGUGGUUGGAAAAUUUGUCCAGAAAAAUAAAACCACACUAGGAUCAAUUCCCAGGAAAGUUUAGAGGAGUCACAGACGGUCCCGCUUAAAACCCAAACUCCUAGACAAAACUUCCUCUAAUGUAAUUUUUAGUAAAAUAACAAAUAAGGAUCAAGGAGAUGAGAAGAGUGAUAGAAGCUUUGAUUUUUGUUGUGUGAAAUAUGAAGAAGAUAGCUUCCUAUUUAUAGGAUUCUCAAAGGGACAAAAUGGUCCAAAAAUUCAACGGCCAUAUUGCAACAGUUAGAUUCCAAUGGUCAUACGGCCAUAUUGUAACAGUCAGAUUCCAAUGACUAUAUUGUAAUGGUAAUAUUUUUUCAUUACCAAUAUUCCCUCACUAAUGUAAAAGAAAUAAAGAAUUUUUAAAAGAUGGGACAAAGAGCAAUAACAAAAUUAGUCGUUUAAGUACAAGUAUCUAUUAGAUUGAACUAAUACAUAGUGAAAUAAGAAAUUCUUCUCUUAUCAAGUGAACGAAUUUGGAACUUGUUAAAAUAAGAGUAAACUCAUAACACACGACUAAUCUUAAGUCUAAUCGUGUUCCGUAAUAGAUCAAAAAUUUAGCCAAUAUACCACGGGAUGCUGGUAAAUGCUCUAGAAAAAUGACCCAACGUCUUUCAUAGAAGGUGCCUAAUUCUUCACACUGGCUAUGUGAUUCCAUCAAGUCUAUCUCAAUAUAGACCAUUCGGACCAAUGCUAUGAAAUCAUUAAGAGCAUUUAAUAAGCUUAAUCUCUCAAUUUAAAGAUUUGGUAAAUUAAUCAAUUCUGUCUCAUUAAGACCACCUAAAUCUUAUGAUAUGAAUCCAUUAAGAACAUUUAGUGGCUCAUCCUAUAAAUUCUGUAGGUUCAUCAAGUCCGUCUCAAUUGGACCACCCAAAUCUUGUGUAGCACCUCGAAUUUUGGGGCUAGAAGUUUUGAGUUUUGUGGUUAGGGUUAGUAAGAAGGUUGCGUUAUUGUGUUUAGUUGUGUGUUUAAGUGACAAAAUGGGCCUACUGGUCUGGUGGUUAAGUGAUUGUUAGUGAACCUUAAGGUUCUGGGUUCAAGUCUUUGUGUGAGUGUUUUGGAGAAGUAUUAUUAUUUUGUUUUGUUUGUUAAAUAGUAGUUUUGUUUUAAGUUAAAUUACUUAACCAUUUAUAUUUUAUUUUAUUCUUUUUCCUUUUUCUUUCUCUUUUUCUCUAGACGUUUUUGUCUUCCCCUUCUUUGGGUUUCUUUUAUUUUUCUUUUGAACAUGGUUUUUGUUGACGAAUUUUGGGAGAAUUCACUCCUUGUCUUCGAGUUAGUGCUGGGAUGUUGUUAAUCGCGAGUCAAGUGUUGGAUUCAAACCUCUUUUAAUAUACUUGCGUAUUGUUGAUUUAAAGUGGAAUUCGACAAUCUUUUUGUGUGUUCCGGUAAAUGAGCAAUUAAGUUUCGUGCUGUCAAUAAUCUCUUGAAAAAUAGAGUGUUUUAACUGGAGGUCGAUUUAAUGACUGGAAAAGCUUAAUUUUUAGGCUGUUUGUGGGUGUUUUCAUGGCUACACCAGCGUGUGCCAGUUCACAUGACUGUGUGGAGUUAGGAAUUAGGGUUUCUGGGUAAAAUUUGGUGCCACACGGUCGCGUGUCCGAUUUAGGGAUUUUUGUUAAUUUCCACACGGCUGUGUCCCUUGGGUACACAAGCGUGUGUAUUUGGGAAUUAGGGAUUUAGUGAUCUGGUGCCACACGGCCUGGCCACACUGUAACACCUCUAACCCAUAUCCGUCACCGGAAUAGGGUUACGAGGCAUUAUCGAAUUUAUACACUAACAUUUAUACAAAAUCGAGUUAUAAAUAUGCAUUUCAAAUCAAUUCUUUUCAAAUCCUCAACUUAAAGUCCAUAAUAUGGGCUUACGGGGCCCAAUACAUGCUUUGGAAAUGGUUCGGGACUAAAUCGACAACUUUGAAAAUUUUUCUUUGAAAAUAAGGGCACACACCCGUGUGGCUUAGAACAUGGCCGUGUUGUGACACCCCUAAAGUGACCCUAGUCUGAAAGUGGUUUCGGGACCACUAAACCGAGUCAUAAAGAUAAUUAACCGUCAUAGUUGAUGCUCAUUAUAUGUACAUAUGCAUGUGUGAAAAUUUCAUGUUUGAAUUUUGUUAAUAGUAAGUGAAUUUUAUCAAAUAGGACUUAUGUGAGAAAAUUUUGAAAUGUGAUAGGUCAAAGCAUAAGGAUCUAUUAGUGCAUGAAAUAAAAAAGGGGGGACUUGCAUGUCAAUUUCCCCCUAAUUAGUAGUGGCCGGCCAUGACAAGUAUGGUAGACCAAGUGUGAUGGGCAAGAACAUGUCAUAAACAUGUUAAGUUAGUGUUUCAUGGGAAGUAUGAUAAAAUAAGGAGCAUGGGAAUAAAAUAAUGAAAGGGAAUAUGAUGAAAACAAAAAAAAAAGUGUGUGGUUGUUCCCCCAUUUUGCCGAAACUAGAAAAAAAAAGAGAAAGGCUUCAUCCUUUGGUUCUUCUUGGCCGGUUUGAAAGGAGGAAGAGGAGAGGUUUUGGUCACCUUGAGCUUAAGGGGAGGUUAGUAUGUUGUGUUAAAUUCUUAAGUUUUAAACUUGUUUCUAGUUAAUUAGCAAAUUUCUUACACAAACCAUGGCAAAAUUUCGAAAUCUCGGUGAUGGCUUGAGCAUUCGGUUUUGGUUGUUGAAAGGAAUGAGUUGGAGGUUGGAUCAUGCUAAGAUUCGGCCUUGUACAUAAACAUUAAGAGUUUGAUGUUUUUGCGAUUUUUGGAAGGUAAAUAAGGUUAUACACAAGAUAAAUACUAAGAUUUUGGUUGACUUGUUUUAGUGAGGUUCGGCCAAGGACCUUAUGUGCAAGUUUAUUCGGUUUAAGUAGAGAAAACGUGACGGAUAGAUAUGAAGUAAUGUGUAUAUUGGUUCGGCUGCUAAGCAAGGAAAUAAUUGUUAGUAACAUAGUAUCUAUGCACUUAUGUAUAUAUAUGUAUGUACAAAUAACCUAUUUAGCUAUGGAUAUCUAAGGUGUUAAAUAAUGAAAUUCUUGAUGACUUGGGUUAAAUAGCAUUCGGCCAAGGACUAUAUGGGCUUGUUAAUUCGGUUUAAGUGAAGAAACUAUGAUAGAGAAAUAUGACUAAAUUGUGGACUUUGACAAUUUAAAUGAUGCAUUUGACUUGUGUACCGACCUAGGACGAUAUGUGUUUCUAUAUGAAGUUAGAUGGUGUUGAUGAAGUUCGGUAAUGCAUGAUGUUUAAAUAGUAUUGAGCAAGGUCAUUGUACUUAAAUUGUAUGACAUACAUGUAUUGAAUGGAAUUGCCCAAGUGAAAAUAUUAAAUGAAUUUAUUUGUUUAAAUUAAGCUCAAGAGCAAAGGGGAUCUAAA
RNAcentral lists this long non-coding RNA (6189 nucleotides) under Gossypium barbadense (sea-island cotton). RNAcentral describes it as "long non-coding RNA (GBAR_LNC000215)". Lineage: Eukaryota; Viridiplantae; Streptophyta; Magnoliopsida; Malvales; Malvaceae. The record is from RNAcentral.